This 497-nucleotide ribosomal RNA is filed under the name uncultured bacterium. Its description in RNAcentral is "partial 16S ribosomal RNA". It matches the Rfam family "Bacterial small subunit ribosomal RNA", at positions 28 to 507 of the family's 1533-position model. The record is from RNAcentral.
GAUGAACGCUGGCGGCGUGCCUAAUACAUGCAAGUCGAGCGAACAGACGAGGAGCUUGCUCCUCUGACGUUAGCGGCGGACGGGUGAGUAACACGUGGAUAACCUACCUAUAAGACUGGGAUAACUUCGGGAAACCGGAGCUAAUACCGGAUAAUAUAUUGAACCGCAUGGUUCAAUAGUGAAAGACGGUUUUGCUGUCACUUAUAGAUGGAUCCGCGCCGCAUUAGCUAGUUGGUAAGGUAACGGCUUACCAAGGCAACGAUGCGUAGCCGACCUGAGAGGGUGAUCGGCCACACUGGAACUGAGACACGGUCCAGACUCCUACGGGAGGCAGCAGUGGGGAAUAUUCCGCAAUGGGCGAAAGCUUGACGGAGCAACGCCGCGUGAGUGAUGAAGGUCUUCGGAUCGUAAAACUCUGUUAUUAGGGAAGAACAAAUGUGUAAGUAACUAUGCACGUCUUGACGGUACCUAAUCAGAAAGCCACGGCUAACUACGUG